AGUGAACGCUGGCGGUAGGCCUAACACAUGCAAGUCGAACGGCAGCACAGUAAGAGCUUGCUCUUACGGGUGGCGAGUGGCGGACGGGUGAGGAAUACAUCGGAAUCUACUUUUUCGUGGGGGAUAACGUAGGGAAACUUACGCUAAUACCGCAUACUACCUACGGGUGAAAGCAGGGGAUCUUCGGACCUUGCGCGAUUGAAUGAGCCGAUGUCGGAUUAGCUAGUUGGCGGGGUAAAGGCCCACCAAGGCGACGAUCCGUAGCUGGUCUGAGAGGAUGAUCAGCCACACUGGAACUGAGACACGGUCCAGACUACUACGGGAGGCAGCAGUGGGGAAUAUUGGACAAUGGGCGCAAGCCUGAUCCAGCCAUACCGAGUGGGUGAAGAAGGCCUUCGGGUUGUAAAGCCAUUUUGUUGGGAAAGAAAAGCAGCAGGUUAAUACCCCGCUGUUCUGACGGUACCCAAAGAAUAAGCACCGGCUAACUUCGUG
RNAcentral lists this ribosomal RNA (492 nucleotides) under uncultured bacterium. RNAcentral's name for it is "partial 16S ribosomal RNA". It matches the Rfam family "Bacterial small subunit ribosomal RNA", at positions 29 to 507 of the family's 1533-position model. The record is from RNAcentral.